RNAcentral lists this ribosomal RNA (579 nucleotides) under Hyloscirtus callipeza. RNAcentral describes it as "partial 16S ribosomal RNA". It matches the Rfam family "Bacterial large subunit ribosomal RNA", at positions 1809 to 2600 of the family's 2925-position model. Lineage: Eukaryota; Metazoa; Chordata; Amphibia; Anura; Hylidae. The record is from RNAcentral.
AAAAACAUCGCCUCUUGUUACAAUAUAAGAGGUCCAGCCUGCCCGGUGACUCAGUUUAACGGCCGCGGUAUCCUAACCGUGCGAAGGUAGCGUAAUCACUUGUUCUUUAAAUAAGGACUAGUAUGAACGGCAUCACGAAGAUUUUACUGUCUCCUUUUUCAAAUCAGUGAAAUUAAUCUUCCCGUGAAGAAGCGGGAAUAAAGAUAUAAGACGAGAAGACCCUAUGGAGCUUUAAACAUAAUAACACUUAUUACAUAUUAUUAGAAUUUAAGAAAAACAACACCAAGUAUGCUAGUAUGAUUAUAAGUUUUCGGUUGGGGCGACCACGGAGCAAAAAAUAUCCUCCAAGUAGAAUAGAACUUUACCUUGAGCAAAAAGCUUCAACUUUAUGCACCAAUAAAUUGACUUCUAUUGACCCAAUAUUUUGAUCAACGAACCAAGUUACCCUAGGGAUAACAGCGCAAUCCACUUUAAGAGCUCCUAUCGACAAGUGGGCUUACGACCUCGAUGUUGGAUCAGGGUAUCCCAGUGGUGCAGCCACUACUAAUGGUUUGUUUGUUCAACAAUUAAAACCCUACG